Molecule: non-coding RNA, 103 nt
Organism: Latescibacteria bacterium DG_63
Lineage: Bacteria; Pseudomonadati; Candidatus Latescibacterota
Source: Rfam
GGACCUUUUAAGCUAGCCCUGCGAGGCUAGUAAGGGGAAUAAUUGAUGUCAGUCGCUAGCUUUACCUGAUACCUUCUUGCCUCAGCGAGGAGGUUUCUUUUUU